CAUUCUCAAAAAGAACCCUUCUUGGUCUCGCGAUCGGGAAAGGCCUCUUUUUGGACUUUGGAGGCUAUUGCUGGUCCCCCCUUGAUAGCCAGCUCCUCUUAAAUGAAUUAGUAGGGACCACUUUGCCGACCCUAGACGUGAUAAGAUGUUUCUGCGUCUUGGGUAUUCGCUCUGUCCUUUGGAAACCUGCUUCUAACCGUCUUGUGAAAAGACAGCGUUCGAGCCUUUCUCGUUGAUCGGGCAAGGCUUGACUUGAUGAA
Molecule: unclassified non-coding RNA, 260 nt
Filed under: uncultured Russula
Lineage: Eukaryota; Fungi; Basidiomycota; Agaricomycetes; Russulales; Russulaceae
Description: sequence contains ITS2
Source: RNAcentral